RNAcentral lists this ribosomal RNA (253 nucleotides) under uncultured bacterium. RNAcentral's name for it is "partial 16S ribosomal RNA". It matches the Rfam family "Bacterial small subunit ribosomal RNA", at positions 524 to 776 of the family's 1533-position model. The record is from RNAcentral.
UACGUAGGUUGCGAGCGUUGUCCGGAUUUACUGGGCGUAAAGCGCACGCAGGCGGUUCCGAAAGUCGAAUGUGAAAGCUCCCGGCCCAACUGGGAGAGGCCGUUCGAAACUUCGGGACUUGAAGGCGGGAGAGGCAGAUGGAAUUUCCGGUGUAGCGGUAAAAUGCGUAGAUACCGGAAGGAACACCAGUGGCGAAAGCGAUCUGCUGGCCCGCCCUUGACGCUCAGGUGCGAAAGCUAGGGGAGCGACCGGG